AAUAAGUACACGUCAUACUGCGUUAUGUUCUUCACUUUUAUAUCUUACCGCCAUUAUUUGCAAUAAAUUAUUCUUCAAAAUUAUAUCAAAGUCAGCAGUCUAUAAAAUAUAUUCGAAGGAUAAAUAUAAAGUUUAAGUAGAGUACGGUGAUGUGAUGCAUAAUUAAAUUAGAGUGAGAUGAUUUAGCAAGUGAUGAUUUUACUUUAGUAAUAAGAUCCAAGAGCGAUGCCCCGAAGGCCCCGAUCAUGUCGAGGUGAACUGAGGACAGAUAAUAAAAUGAGAGAAGGAAAAGAGUAGGCGCGAUCUGAUGUUUAAGCUUUAUUUCGAUGCCGGGGUCACGGCUUACACGACUCAACUUUACCUACCGCCAUUUUGAACACGAUAAUUUAAGAUGCUACUAUAGUAUAUAUAAACUUUUCUAUAUACAUAUGUACUAUAUGUAUACAUUAUUGUGUAAGUAUAAUAAGAUAAAUGAAAUUGUAAGACUAGCGCAAUGUGCUCGUCCAUGAGUUUUCGCCCUCGUCGUCAUAUACGUCGAAACGACCGUUUAAUAUCGCCAGCUGGCACGUGAAGCGGCAAUGUACUGUCUGGCAUUGCAAACCUUGUCAGCCGUCCCUGCUGCACUCCUACUGCUAUUGCUAGUGAUAUUGGUAUAUGCCAUGCUACACAUAACACAUAACACAACUGUACUCCUGCAGCAAGUUUACUUGGACUCAGCCAGAAUUUAUCCUAUUCUAAAUAAUGCAAUAGUACAUCUACAUAAUUGAGUAGCCUGACAACUGUUCCAUUUCUCUACGCUCUUUUAAAUAUUUAACCGAAA
This is a long non-coding RNA of Microplitis demolitor, 820 nucleotides long. RefSeq lists it as uncharacterized. The transcript is spliced from 3 exons. Lineage: Eukaryota; Metazoa; Arthropoda; Insecta; Hymenoptera; Braconidae. The record is from RefSeq and is a predicted model, not a curated record.